GGCCUACCAUGGUUUUAACGGGUAACGGGGAAUUAGGGUUCGAUUCCGGAGAGGGAGCCUGAGAAACGGCUACCACAUCCAAGGAGGGCAGCAGGCGCGCAAAUUACCCAAUCCCGACACGGGGAGGUAGUGACAAUAAAUAACAAUACAGGGCUUUCUAGUCUUGUAAUUGGAAUGAGUACAAUUUAAAUCCCUUAACGAGGAACAAUUGGAGGGCAAGUCUGGUGCCAGCAGCCGCGGUAAUUCCAGCUCCAAUAGCGUAUAUUAAAGUUGUUGCAGUUAAAAAGCUCGUAGUUGAACUUCGGGAUCAAUGAGUUGGUCGUGCCCUUGGUAUGAACUGGCUUUAUUGGUUCUCACCUUCUAAUGAACCAUAAUGUCAUUCAUUUGAUGUUUUGGGGAAUUAGGACUGUUACCUUGAAAAAAUUAGAGUGUUUAAAGCAGGCUCACGCUUGAAUACAUUAGCAUGGAAUAAUGAAAUAGGACAUCGCAUUCUAUUUUGUUGGUUUCUAGGAUCGAUGUAAUGAUUAAUAGGGAUAGUUGGGGGCAUUAGUAUUCAAUUGUCAGAGGUGAAAUUCUUGGAUUUAUUGAAGACUAACUACUGCGAAAGCAUUUGCCAAGGAUGUUUUCAUUAAUCAAGAACGAAAGUUAGGGGAUCGAAGACGAUCAGAUACCGUCGUAGUCUUAACCAUAAACUAUGCCGACUAGGGAUCGGAUGAUGUUGAUUUUUUAAUGACUCAUUCGGCACCUUACG
This 751-nucleotide ribosomal RNA is filed under the name uncultured Glomeromycotina. Its description in RNAcentral is "SSU rRNA". It matches the Rfam family "Eukaryotic small subunit ribosomal RNA", at positions 338 to 1092 of the family's 1831-position model. The record is from RNAcentral. Lineage: Eukaryota; Fungi; Glomeromycota.